RNAcentral lists this ribosomal RNA (828 nucleotides) under Escherichia coli. Its description in RNAcentral is "partial 23S ribosomal RNA". It matches the Rfam family "Bacterial large subunit ribosomal RNA", at positions 361 to 1194 of the family's 2925-position model. The record is from RNAcentral. Lineage: Bacteria; Pseudomonadati; Pseudomonadota; Gammaproteobacteria; Enterobacterales; Enterobacteriaceae.
AGGGUGACAGCCCCGUACACAAAAAUGCACAUACUGUGAGCUCGAUGAGUAGGGCGGGACACGUGGUAUCCUGUCUGAAUAUGGGGGGACCAUCCUCCAAGGCUAAAUACUCCUGACUGACCGAUAGUGAACCAGUACCGUGAGGGAAAGGCGAAAAGAACCCCGGCGAGGGGAGUGAAAAAGAACCUGAAACCGUGUACGUACAAGCAGUGGGAGCCUCUUUAUGGGGUGACUGCGUACCUUUUGUAUAAUGGGUCAGCGACUUAUAUUCUGUAGCAAGGUUAACCGAAUAGGGGAGCCGAAGGGAAACCGAGUCUUAACUGGGCGUUAAGUUGCAGGGUAUAGACCCGAAACCCGGUGAUCUAGCCAUGGGCAGGUUGAAGGUUGGGUAACACUAACUGGAGGACCGAACCGACUAAUGUUGAAAAAUUAGCGGAUGACUUGUGGCUGGGGGUGAAAGGCCAAUCAAACCGGGAGAUAGCUGGUUCUCCCCGAAAGCUAUUUAGGUAGCGCCUCGUGAAUUCAUCUCCGGGGGUAGAGCACUGUUUCGGCAAGGGGGUCAUCCCGACUUACCAACCCGAUGCAAACUGCGAAUACCGGAGAAUGUUAUCACGGGAGACACACGGCGGGUGCUAACGUCCGUCGUGAAGAGGGAAACAACCCAGACCGCCAGCUAAGGUCCCAAAGUCAUGGUUAAGUGGGAAACGAUGUGGGAAGGCCCAGACAGCCAGGAUGUUGGCUUAGAAGCAGCCAUCAUUUAAAGAAAGCGUAAUAGCUCACUGGUCGAGUCGGCCUGCGCGGAAGAUGUAACGGGGCUAAACCAUGCAC